GACAGGGGGUGCAAACGUUGCUCGGAAUUACUGGGCGUAAAGCGCACGUAGGCGGUCCCGUAAGUCGGGUGUGAAAGCCCUUGGCUCAACCAAGGAACUGCGCCCGAUACUGCGGGGCUUGAGGACGGGAGGGGAGAGUGGAAUUCCUGGUGGAGCGGUGAAAUGCGUAGAUAUCAGGAGGAACACCAGUGGCGAAGGCGACUCUCUGGUCCGUUCCUGACGCUGAGGUGCGAAAGCUAGGGGAGCAAACGGG
Molecule: ribosomal RNA, 253 nt
Filed under: uncultured bacterium
Lineage: Bacteria
Description: partial 16S ribosomal RNA
Rfam family: Bacterial small subunit ribosomal RNA
Source: RNAcentral